RNAcentral lists this ribosomal RNA (419 nucleotides) under uncultured rumen bacterium. RNAcentral's name for it is "bacterial SSU rRNA". It matches the Rfam family "Bacterial small subunit ribosomal RNA", at positions 354 to 776 of the family's 1533-position model. The record is from RNAcentral.
GUGGGGGAUAUUGCACAAUGGAGGAAACUCUGAUGCAGCGACGCCGCGUGAGUGAAGAAGUAUUUCGGUAUGUAAAGCUCUAUCAGCAGGGAAGAAAGGCUCGUAAGAGAGAUGACGGUACCUGACUAAGAAGCCCCGGCUAACUACGUGCCAGCAGCCGCGGUAAUACGUAGGGGGCAAGCGUUAUCCGGAUUUACUGGGUGUAAAGGGAGCGCAGACGGUUAUGCAAGUCUGAAGUGAAACCCCACGGCUCAACCGUGGGCUUGCUUUGGAAACUGUAUAACUAGAGUACUGGAGAGGUAAGCGGAAUUCCUAGUGUAGCGGUGAAAUGCGUAGAUAUUAGGAGGAACAUCGGUGGCGAAGGCGGCUUACUGGACAGCAACUGACGUUGAGGCUCGAAGGCGUGGGGAGCAAACAGG